This 134-nucleotide non-coding RNA is filed under the name Phaeomonas parva. Lineage: Eukaryota; Pinguiophyceae; Pinguiochrysidales; Pinguiochrysidaceae. The record is from RNAcentral.
AAAAAAAAAAAAAAAAAAAAAAAAAAAAAAAAAAAAAAAAAAAAAGGACAUUAUUAAAGCUCAUAUUUUUUUUUGAAAUUUUCGAGUUUUAUUAUUCAAUUUUUGAUUCUCUAAAUUUAAAAGUUUUAUGAAUA